GGAAUAGGGCAAUGACGACGGCCAUGAACCCAUAGAUGGUCGUGAACACGUUGUUGAGCGUGUAGUCGGUGAACUUGGUGACAGGCCCAACGCAGCGGCCGGCAUCGGUGUCGUUUGGGUUAACGAGCGAGUUGGCGAACGUGAGAUUGGUGCAGAAUGAGCCACCGAACUCGACGGUGUCGUUGGGCGUGAACCAGCCGCAGCAAGAGAACUUGUCCUGAAUCUCAAUGCGGGUUUCAGGCGACGCGGCCUGGAAAAUCUUGAGAUAAUUGGCCCGUUG
This 280-nucleotide unclassified non-coding RNA is filed under the name Hevea brasiliensis (rubber tree). The record is from RNAcentral. Lineage: Eukaryota; Viridiplantae; Streptophyta; Magnoliopsida; Malpighiales; Euphorbiaceae.